CAGCAGUGGGGAAUAUUGCACAAUGGGCGCAAGCCUGAUGCAGCCAUGCCGCGUGUGUGAAGAAGGCCUUCGGGUUGUAAAGCACUUUCAGUUGUGAGGAAGGUGGUGUCGUUAAUAGCGGCAUCAUUUGACGUUAGCAACAGAAGAAGCACCGGCUAACUCCGUGCCAGCAGCCGCGGUAAUACGGAGGGUGCGAGCGUUAAUCGGAAUUACUGGGCGUAAAGCGCAUGCAGGUGGUUUGUUAAGUCAGAUGUGAAAGCCCGGGGCUCAACCUCGGAACUGCAUUUGAAACUGGCAGACUAGAGUACUGUAGAGGGGGUAGAAUUUCAGGUGUAGCGGUGAAAUGCGUAGAGAUCUGAAGGAAUACCGGUGGCGAAGGCGGCCCCCUGGACAGAUACUGACACUCAGAUGCGAAAGCGUGGGGAGCAAACAGGAUUAGAUACCCUGGUAG
RNAcentral lists this ribosomal RNA (451 nucleotides) under uncultured bacterium. RNAcentral's name for it is "bacterial SSU rRNA". It matches the Rfam family "Bacterial small subunit ribosomal RNA", at positions 349 to 793 of the family's 1533-position model. The record is from RNAcentral.